GUGCCAGCAGCCGCGGUAAUACAGAGGGUGCGAGCGUUAAUCGGAAUUACUGGGCGUAAAGCGCGCGUAGGCGGUCUUGUAAGUCGGGUGUGAAAGCCCCGGGCUCAACCUGGGAACUGCAUUCGAGACUGCAAGACUGGAGUAUUGGAGAGGGCAGCGGAAUUUCCGGUGUAGCGGUGAAAUGCGUAGAUAUCGGAAGGAACAUCAGUGGCGAAAGCGGCUGCCUGGCCAAAUACUGACGCUCAUGUGCGAAAGCGUGGGGAGCAAACAGGAUUAGAAACCCGGGUAGUCC
RNAcentral lists this ribosomal RNA (292 nucleotides) under uncultured bacterium. Its description in RNAcentral is "partial 16S ribosomal RNA". It matches the Rfam family "Bacterial small subunit ribosomal RNA", at positions 505 to 796 of the family's 1533-position model. The record is from RNAcentral.